AACUUGUCGGCUUCAUUCAAUGGCUCGGCACUCCCAACGCCGGUCCACGAUGCUUUCCAGCU
Molecule: small RNA, 62 nt
Filed under: Sinorhizobium meliloti 2011
Lineage: Bacteria; Pseudomonadati; Pseudomonadota; Alphaproteobacteria; Hyphomicrobiales; Rhizobiaceae
Description: putative ncRNA
Source: RNAcentral